GACGAAGGGGGCUAGCGUUGCUCGGAAUUACUGGGCGUAAAGCGCACGUAGGCGGCUUUCUAAGUCGGGGGUGAAAUCCUGGAGCUCAACUCCAGAACUGCCUUCGAUACUGGAAAGCUCGAGUCCGGGAGAGGUGAGUGGAACUGCGAGUGUAGAGGUGAAAUUCGUAGAUAUUCGCAAGAACACCAGUGGCGAAGGCGGCUCACUGGCCCGGUACUGACGCUGAGGCACGAAAGCGUGGGGAGCAAACAGG
Molecule: ribosomal RNA, 253 nt
Filed under: uncultured bacterium
Lineage: Bacteria
Description: partial 16S ribosomal RNA
Rfam family: Bacterial small subunit ribosomal RNA
Source: RNAcentral